Molecule: ribosomal RNA, 253 nt
Filed under: uncultured bacterium
Lineage: Bacteria
Description: partial 16S ribosomal RNA
Rfam family: Bacterial small subunit ribosomal RNA
Source: RNAcentral
UACAGAGGUCUCAAGCGUUGUUCGGAUUCAUUGGGCGUAAAGGGUGCGUAGGCGGCGCGGUAAGUCGGGUGUGAAAUCUCGGAGCUUAACUCCGAAACUGCAUUCGAUACUGCCGUGCUUGAGGACUGGAGAGGAGACUGGAAUUUACGGUGUAGCGGUGGAAUGCGUAGAUAUCGUAAGGAAGACCAGUGGCGAAGGCGGGUCUCUGGACAGUUCCUGACGCUGAGGCACGAAGGUCAGGGGAGCAAACGGG